Molecule: ribosomal RNA, 971 nt
Filed under: uncultured Planctomycetota bacterium
Lineage: Bacteria; Pseudomonadati; Planctomycetota
Description: uncultured planctomycete partial 16S ribosomal RNA
Rfam family: Bacterial small subunit ribosomal RNA (bases 68-913)
Source: RNAcentral
UGAAAUUGUAAUACGACUCACUAUAGAGCGAAUUGGGCCCGACGUCGCAUGCUCCCGGCCCGCCAUGGCGGCCCGCGGGAAUUCGAUUGGAUUAGGCAUGCAAGUCGAACGAGAAAGGUUCCUUCGGGGACCGAGUACAGUGGCGAAAGGGUGAGUAAUGCAUAGGCAACUUGCCCCCGAGAUGGGGAUAACCUUCCGAAAGGGGGGCUAAUACCCAAUAGUAUCGUGGAUCGCAUGUUCCGCGAUUAAAGAUAGCUCUGCCUUCGCUCGGGGAGAGGCUUAUGUCCUAUUAGCUUGUUGGUGGGGUAACGGCCCACCAAGGCGACGAUGGGUAGCCGACCUGAGAGGGUGACCGGCCACACUGGGACUGAGACACUGCCCAGACUCCUACGGGAGGCUGCAGUCGAGAAUCUUCCGCAAUGCGCGCAAGCGUGACGGAGCGACGCCGCGUGAGUGAUGAAGGCCUUCGGGUUGUAAAACUCUGUCACCUGGGAAGAAAGCUGUGCGGUUAAUAGCUGUCGCAGUUGACGUUACCAGGGGAGGAAGCACCGGCUAAAUACGUGCCAGCAGCCGCGGUAAUACGUAUGGUGCAAACGUUGUUCGGAAUCACUGGGCUUAAAGAGCACGUAGGCGGUCAAGGAAGUCUGAUGUGAAAUCCCUCGGCUUAACCGAGGAACUGCACUGGAAACUCCUUGGCUAGAGUGCAGAAGGGGAGAGUGGAAUUCCUGGUGGAGCGGUGAAAUGCGUAGAUAUCAGGAGGAACGCCGGAGGCGAAAGCGACUCUCUGGUCUGUUACUGACGCUGAGGUGCGAAAGCUAGGGGAGCGAACGGGAUUAGAUACCCCGGUAGUCCUAGCCCUAAACGAUGGGCACUAAGUAGAGGGGUUUUAAUCACUAGUGAAUUCGCGGCCGCCUGCAGGUCGACCAUAUGGGAGAGCUCCCAACGCGUUGGAUGCAUAGCUUGAGUAUUCU